AUGAACGCUGACAGAAUGCUUAACACAUGCCAGUCUUUGGCGAAGCUGUGCUUGCACAGCCUAGCCAAGGCGGACGGGUGAGUAACGCGUAAGGAACUUGCCCUGCAGUCAGGGAUAACAGACGGAAACGACUGAUAAGACCUGGUAAAGUCAGGCGGACUCAUGUCCAGCCUGAUGAAAAGAGAUGCUGCAGGAGAGCCUUGCGUCCUAUUAGCUUGUUGGUGGGGUAACGGCCCACCAAGGCGAUGAUAGGUAGCCGGCCUGAGAGGGUGGACGGCCACAAGGGGACUGAGAUACGGCCCUUACUCCUACGGGAGGCAGCAGUGGGGAAUAUUGGACAAUGGGGGCAACCCUGAUCCAGCAAUUCUGUGUGCACGAUGAAGGUUUUCGGAUUGUAAAGUGCUUUCAGCAGGGAAGAAAAAAUGACGGUACCUGCAGAAGAAGCGACGGCUAAAUACGUG
RNAcentral lists this ribosomal RNA (461 nucleotides) under uncultured bacterium. RNAcentral's name for it is "partial 16S ribosomal RNA". It matches the Rfam family "Bacterial small subunit ribosomal RNA", at positions 29 to 507 of the family's 1533-position model. The record is from RNAcentral.